This is a long non-coding RNA of Drosophila willistoni, 823 nucleotides long. RefSeq lists it as uncharacterized. The transcript has 2 exons. The record is from RefSeq and is a predicted model, not a curated record. Lineage: Eukaryota; Metazoa; Arthropoda; Insecta; Diptera; Drosophilidae.
UAAAUGAAACAAACUUUUAAGAGUUUAAAAUUUGUAUUUUUUCUCGUGAUAACAUUUCUCGUAGAUGCGUCGCCACCUUUUCAUCAGAUCCAUUAGAGAAUGUAGUCAAUAAUUCGACUACCUGUGAUCAAAAGAAUCUUUCGAUCAUAAAUUUUAUAAUAAUCAUACAAACAAUUCCAAUAGACAAGUGUACAAGAAAGAUACAAAAUGUUUUUUCCUGCCCUUGAGAAUGGAAAAUCCGGAAGGAAGAAGAAUCAAUGCUCCAGAUCUUUUGCAUAAGAACGCAUCUCUAAUAGCCUUAACAAAUUCAUUUCACCCUUAAUUGUAAGUAUUUCAAGUAGGUUCGUUCCAUAACUAAUUUACAACUGCUAUAAAUAGAUAAGCAAGAUUGGAUUAUAUUCACUUAUAAAAAAUUGAGUAUUGACCUUAAAAAAAUGUGGUUUAACCUAUACACAACUUGUCUCCUGUUGAUGUUUGCUAUAAUACCAUAUAUUCCACCAGGAUAUGACAACAGUCAACUUCACCGGCCAUUUGAUAAGAGAAAAUAAACUAUGUAUAUUUUCUGCAAGUGCAUGAUAAAGCAAGUAAUGGAAAUAAACAAUCACUUUAUCAAGACAUAACUAAAGCCUCAGGAAAUUCAUAUAUUCUUUCCUUGCUUUCCAUUCAUGGUAUUUGGUAUCAAUGUGGAUUCCAUUAUCAUGCACAGUAUUUUAAAACCUCCUCUAGAAUGGACCUCAUGGGCUUUCACCAUUUUGAAUCACAAAUUCUGCAAGUGCAGAAUAACAAAAUAAUAAGAAAUAAAUAAAAACAAUUUAAAAACAUA